CUUUGCGAAGAUAAAAACACAACGUAUUUUAAUUAUACAGUUCCAGUUGGUAGUCUGGACACAGUUAAAACUGUAAGUAACCUUCCUCCUUGGGUCGUCCAUUCUUUGCUCAUUAAAU
This 118-nucleotide non-coding RNA is filed under the name Leptotrichia sp. RNAcentral's name for it is "Azaaromatic sequence". It matches the Rfam family "azaaromatic riboswitch aptamer (yjdF RNA)". Lineage: Bacteria; Fusobacteriati; Fusobacteriota; Fusobacteriia; Fusobacteriales; Leptotrichiaceae. RNAcentral also lists the same sequence under 1 other name. The record is from RNAcentral.